CAUUCUGUGACCGGAGGGAACGUGGGCCCCGAGUGCUCCUCAGACCAUAUUCCUUCCCCUCUGAGCUCGCCAGCAGCAGACCCCUUCCAGGUCCCCAACACCGCAGCACCAGCCGGGUGGUCCCAAGGAUUUGGAUGCCCAUGGCUUUGGGGAGUUAUCACUCACUCCACCUAGCACAAAAUGGAUGCAAAUGCAGAACCAUGCUCUCUCCACAUGGUUCUGAAGGAGACAGCUAAUCUGAUGACCGGCUUCCUGGCUUUGCUGAUGCCUAUUUUUCCCAGACUCUUACUUCCCUGGGUAUCCCCUUAAAGGCAUCUGCUUGUGUGACAUCCCCACAGUUCCAGUGAUCCUGGCCUGCAUUAACCUUCUACACCAAAAUAAUUUCAAAACCACUUGUUCCAACAGAAGAAAGGGUGGGGAAAAAACUGUAAUGGUAAUGUAUACAUGUAAGGAUAACCUGACCCCCUUGCUGUACAGUGGGAAAAUAAAAACAAACAAACAAACAAACAAACAAACAAAAAAACCCACUUGUUCCUGUUUACAGUUGAUUUAUGUUCUCUAUCUGGUAUAGCCAUUAGAGUUUUCAUCAGGAUUCCUCAAAUCUGCCUGGGCAAAUGCCCUCAGAGAUCUCUCACAGCUGUGGCCCUCUGGGACUUGCUGUCCCUGUCAGAGCACAGGCUUUCCCCAGGGAGGUGCUGAGUGUCCAGGGGUUCACUCCUCUGGGUCCCUAAAUUUUCACUUUCUUGCAUACUUUUUCUAGCAUGAAAGAUUGGACUGAUGUGAUCAUAAAGCUGUUUUGCCAUAAAUAUUGAAGUAAAUAACAGAGGAAAUGUUCAUGAUGAAUAAAAAAAUAGGGAAAACUCAAGAGCAUUUCCUGAACGGAGUCCAGAAUUAAGCACAUGGAAAUUCAUGCCGUCAUAACACAUUGUGACACUAUCCUAUUCUAAUGACAAAUUCUUGGGUUUUUUUCAUUUCACAAGAAGCCUUGACAUUUACUUAUGGUGUCAUGACACUGAGCAUUUGGAAAGUGACGAUUCAGGUGAUGGAAACUAACUAAUAACUAAAAAUUUACUUUAUAUAUUAUCAAACUUUGUUACUGUUUGGAGAAAGUUCCCCUGUCAUUACACAUAGUAGUUUCAUUCAUCUUAUUGCUGAAUAGUAUUCCAUUUUAUGAAUGUAUCACAAUUUAUCAAUUCAUCACUCAAUCUACUUGGGAUAUUCAUCAUGACUACUUUCUAUAAAUAAAGCUUUUCAAAACAUUUUGGAAUGUCUUUUUGUGGAAACGUUUUUAUUUUUCUUGGACACAUGCAUAGGACUAAAAUGCUGGGUCAUAUUGGAAGCACAUGUUUAAUUAGCUCAAAUCUUCCAAAAUGGCUUUACUAACUUACAUCCUCCAUGACCAGUAUAAGGGGUGUCCAGGUUCCUUACACUCUGGCAAACACUUGUUAUUUUCAGUCUUUUGCAUUAAAGCCAUUCUAGCCAAUGUCUGGCUAUGUCUUAUGAUAUUAAUUAGCAUUUUCUUAAUAAAAAAUUUUGCCGAGCAUUUUCUCAUAUGAUCAGAGCAACCAUUAGAACAACUUAUUUGGCUUAAUAUCUACAAGAGACACUCAAAUAUAAAGGCAUGCAUAGGUGAAAGGAGUUGAAAGAAAAAGGCACUCCAUGCAAAUGGUCAAAAAGAGAGGAGAGGCUAUUCUUAUAGC
This is a long non-coding RNA of Sus scrofa (pig), 1700 nucleotides long. RefSeq lists it as uncharacterized. NCBI's taxonomy places the organism in Eukaryota, Metazoa, Chordata, Mammalia, Artiodactyla, Suidae. The record is from RefSeq and is a predicted model, not a curated record.